UCUGUGGAGACUGCCGGUGUACAAACCGGAGGAAGGUGGGAUGACGUCAAGUCCUCAUGGCCCUUAUGACCAGGGCUACACACGUGCUACAAUGGCCGGUACAAAGAGUUGCGAUACCGCGAGGUGGAGCUAAUCUACAUAAAGCCGGUCUCAGUUCGGAUUGGAGUCUGCAACUCGACUCCAUGAAGUUGGAAUCGCUAGUAAUCGCGGAUCAGCAUGCCGCGGUGAAUACGUUCCCGGGCCUU
Molecule: ribosomal RNA, 245 nt
Filed under: uncultured Geobacter sp.
Lineage: Bacteria; Pseudomonadati; Thermodesulfobacteriota; Desulfuromonadia; Geobacterales; Geobacteraceae
Description: partial 16S ribosomal RNA
Rfam family: Bacterial small subunit ribosomal RNA
Source: RNAcentral